GUGUAACUGAUGAUAAACUGUCACUGAACAUUGCUGCUUAAUCUAUUUUGGAGAAAGCGGCGAUAGAGCAAAGGAUGUUCGCAAUUGCGAGGCAUUUGCCUGAUACACUA
This is a small nucleolar RNA of Drosophila busckii, 110 nucleotides long. It matches the Rfam family "Small nucleolar RNA Me28S-Am2589". Rfam says of the family: Me28S-Am2589 is a member of the C/D class of snoRNA which contain the C (UGAUGA) and D (CUGA) box motifs. This family directs 2'-O-methylation of 28S A-2589. Lineage: Eukaryota; Metazoa; Arthropoda; Insecta; Diptera; Drosophilidae. The record is from Rfam.